This 169-nucleotide ribosomal RNA is filed under the name Platymiscium pinnatum. RNAcentral's name for it is "5.8S ribosomal RNA". It matches the Rfam family "5.8S ribosomal RNA". From Rfam's summary of the family: 5.8S ribosomal RNA (5.8S rRNA) is a component of the large subunit of the eukaryotic ribosome. RNAcentral also lists the same sequence under 1 other name. Lineage: Eukaryota; Viridiplantae; Streptophyta; Magnoliopsida; Fabales; Fabaceae. The record is from RNAcentral.
GUCUAAAAUGACUCUCGACAACGGAUAUCUCGGCUCUUGCAUCGAUGAAGAACGUAGCGAAAUGCGAUACUUGGUGUGAAUUGCAGAAUCCCGUGAACCAUCGAGUUUUUGAACGCAAGUUGCGCCCGAAGCCAUUAGGUUGAGGGCACGCCUGCCUGGGUGUCACUAA